Molecule: ribosomal RNA, 253 nt
Filed under: uncultured bacterium
Lineage: Bacteria
Description: partial 16S ribosomal RNA
Rfam family: Bacterial small subunit ribosomal RNA
Source: RNAcentral
UACGGAGGAUCCAAGCGUUAUCCGGAAUCAUUGGGUUUAAAGGGUCCGUAGGCGGGUCAAUCAGUCAGUGGUGAAAGUCUGCAGCUUAACUGUAGAAUUGCCAUUGAUACUGUUGACCUUGAGUAAUUAUGAAGUGGUUAGAAUAUGUAGUGUAGCGGUGAAAUGCAUAGAUAUUACAUAGAAUACCGAUUGCGAAGGCAGAUCACUAAUAAUUUACUGACGCUGAGGGACGAAAGCGUAGGUAGCGAACAGG